RNAcentral lists this unclassified non-coding RNA (400 nucleotides) under uncultured Fusobacteriota bacterium. RNAcentral's name for it is "uncultured Fusobacteria bacterium contains 16S-23S intergenic spacer region". The record is from RNAcentral. Lineage: Bacteria; Fusobacteriati; Fusobacteriota.
CCGUCAAUUCAUUUAAGUUUCACACUUGCGUGCGUACUCCCCAGGCGGAUCACUUAUCGCGUUAGCUUGGGCGCUGAGGUUCGACCCCCAACACCUAGUGAUCAUCGUUUACGGCGUGGACUACCAGGGUAUCUAAUCCUGUUUGCUCCCCACGCUUUCGCGCUUUAGCGUCAGUAUCUGUCCAGUGAGCUGACUUCUCCAUCGGCAUUCCUACAAAUAUCUACGAAUUUCACCUCUACACUUGUAGUUCCGCCCACCUCUCCAGUACUCUAGAAAAACAGUUUCCAACGCAAUACGGAGUUGAGCCCCGCAUUUUAACAUCAGACUUAUUUUUCCGCCUAGACGCGCUUUACGCCCAAUAAAUCCGGAUAACGCUUGCGACAUACGUAUUACCGCGGCU